Long non-coding RNA from Papaver somniferum (opium poppy), 1476 nucleotides. RefSeq lists it as uncharacterized. The transcript has 7 exons. Lineage: Eukaryota; Viridiplantae; Streptophyta; Magnoliopsida; Ranunculales; Papaveraceae. The record is from RefSeq and is a predicted model, not a curated record.
GUGGAGGCAAUAGCCAUACCGGUGGUACAGAGUCUACAGACCAAAUCAUGUGGCUUUUGUUACUUUUAGCCCACUGUGCCAGGUCAUGAGCUACUUUAUUCGCUGUUCGAGUAACAUACAGGAAAGAUACAGAUUGAAAUUUAGUAAUUAGGGUUCAUGAGCUACUUUAUUUGCGGUUCGAGUAACAUACAGGAAAGAUACAGAUUGAAAUUUAGUAAUUAGGGUUUUGAUAUCUUGAAAGAGAACGCGAGUUCUUUGAUCCCCUAAGAAAGUCUUCAUAUUGAUUUGUUCUACUAUCGUUGCCGCAUCACUUUCAACAAUGAUCUUGUCUUUCUUCUUCUCCCAAGUGCAUUUUAAAGCAUCUCUGAUGGCCCUUGUCUCUGCUUCCUCUGCUGAAAAACAAACAAGAGAUACAAUUCCAGAUUGGGGUUUUAGGGUUGCUCAACAACAUUGAUUGCGCUCGAGCAAAGAUUGCCACUGGUUCCUCCAAUUUCUUUUCAUGCACAAUUUCUUUUCAUGCUUGUCCAGAUUGACCACAUCAGGCAGGCAAUUUUUGGGAAGAGAUCAUCUCUAUCAGAGGAAUCUACAUAAGAUAAAAUCCGAUAUAUGGAUACGCUUAUGAAGAAUUUCAUUUACUGGUAUGACACCUUUCAGCGCUUUCCAGACAAAUAGCUUCACCCUAGCAGAUAUUUUCCCAAGCAAUCAGGUGGAGCUUCCUAAUACUUGAAUCUGGGUCUUCUCCCCACCAGUAUCUGUUUAGAAAUGGAGUUAACCAGCAACUAAUUCUCUUCUGCACCGCAGUUAGGAGAGACAGAUGGGUUUUGGUUUUAGACCUUAAGAUUGCGAUAGGAGCUCCUAAAUAUUUUUCGCCAAGAGUGAGGUAACCUUUUAUCGCAUGAAAAUCAGGAAUGGUUGCUUUUGUAAACAGAAGACUGUCGUCAGCGAACAACAGAUGACUAAUUUGAGAAGCAGAACCAAACUUUAUGCCAUGAAUCAGGUGGGAUCCUUUGUCCACAUGGACAAGAAAUGGUAAGAUUUAUGCAAGUUCUCCACACCAGGGAUAAGGGAGACCAAGAUGGGAGAAUGAUCAGAACUUAAGCGAGGGAGGUGGAGGGUAUGUGUACGAGGAAAAGCAGUCUCCCACACCAUUCACAAUUGCACGAUCAAGUCUACCCAUUACUAGGUUAUCACCAUCUUGUUUGUUUUUCCAUGUAAAGUCAGGACCAGAAAACGGCAUGUCUCUAAGAUCCCACAGGUUCAUCACAUUUUCCAAAUGUUUAGUAUCAGAAUCAGUAAUUGGUCUUUCCCCCCACUUAUCUUGUUGUUGAAGCAUGCAGUUUAGAUCCCCCACCACGAUAGUAGGAAUUGAGAGAUCAUGGUUUAAGAAGUUUCUCCAACUGGUAGCUCUCAAACUUUUAUUUGGUUCCCCAUACACAAAAAACAAAUUGCAUACUGUGUUAGCUUUAAUAGAAUUGG